Molecule: ribosomal RNA, 1047 nt
Filed under: Triticum aestivum (bread wheat)
Lineage: Eukaryota; Viridiplantae; Streptophyta; Magnoliopsida; Poales; Poaceae
Description: partial small subunit ribosomal RNA
Source: RNAcentral
AUGGCGACCACCUGCACGGUCCUCACCGGCGCCGUGCGUGCCGUGAAGCUGCUCAAGGUCGACAGUUUCCGCCUGGCGUACAAGACCAUGCGCGAAGGUGAGUUCCUCAGAACCAGCUGGAACGUCGACGGCCACGACGUCGAAAUCCGGUGGUACCCUGGGACAGCGAUGGCACCGGUCGAGCUCGUGUUCCUCACCAAAACUGCAAGCACCUGCAACGUGAGGGCGAGCUUUGGCUGUCUCCUGGUACACCCGAGGCUGCCGCAGCCGCACAAUGGCAACGAAGAAAAGACCGUGUGGCAUGUGUUCAAGCAUCCCAAGGACUGUUCGCUUCGAGUCUCGCUUGUGGACCAGACUUCACGCCAAGGAGACUACUUGACCGUCCAGUGCACCGUCACGAUUCUGAAGGAGCUCGCUUAUACGACAACGACGGUGCCUGCGCCGGCAUCCAACAUGCACCAGCACUUCCGGGAGCUCCUGCGGAACGGGACGGGAGCAGACGUCACGUUCCUCGUCUCCGGCAAGGCCUUCGCCGCGCACAAGCUCGUGCUGGCCGCGAGAUCCCCGGUCUUCAUGGCCGAGUUCUUCGGGGACAUGAAGGAGAAGAGCUCCCGGCGCGUGGAGAUCAAGGACAUGGAGGCAACCGUGUUCGGGGCGCUGCUGGAGUUUAUCUACACCGACAAUGUUCCUGAACUUCCUUCGCAAAAAAAAAAAAAUGUUCCUGAACUUGACCGGGAGCUGGAGGCCGUGGCGACGAUGGCUCAGCAUCUGCUUGCGGCGGCUGACAGGUACGGGAUUGACAGGCUCAAAAUUAUGUGCGAGGGCAAGCUCAUCGGUGGCAUCACUGUCGACACGGCGGCGACUACUUUGGCUUUGGCAGAGCAGCACAAUUGCCCGCACCUCAAGGAGAAGUGUGUCGAGUUUAUCAUCAGUACUCCUGCGAUCCUUGACGCCGUGGUGGCGACGGAGGGGUCUAAGCAUCUGGAGGCAAGCUGCCCUUCUGCGCUCACUAGCAUUGUCCUGUCUACGCGUGGGAGAAGGAACUGA